CCUACGGGUGGCUGCAGUGGGGAAUAUUGGACAAUGGGGGGAACCCUGAUCCAGCCAUGCCGCGUGUGUGAAGAAGGCCCUCGGGUUGUAAAGCACUUUCAGUGAGGAAGAACGCCUGGUGGUUAAUACCCAUCAGGAAAGGCAUCACUCACAGAAGAAGCACCGGCUAACUCCGUGCCAGCAGCCGCGGUAAUACGGAGGGUGCGAGCGUUAAUCGGAAUUACUGGGCGUAAAGCGCGCGUAGGUGGCUUGAUAAGCCGGUUGUGAAAGCCCCGGGCUCAACCUGGGAACGGCAUCCGGAACUGUCAAGCUAGAGUGCAGGAGAGGAAGGUAGAAUUCCCGGUGUAGCGGUGAAAUGCGUAGAGAUCGGGAGGAAUACCAGUGGCGAAGGCGGCCUUCUGGACUGACACUGACACUGAGGUGCGAAAGCGUGGGUAGCAAACAGGAUUAGAUACCCCAGUAGUC
RNAcentral lists this ribosomal RNA (465 nucleotides) under Vreelandella stevensii. RNAcentral describes it as "partial 16S ribosomal RNA". It matches the Rfam family "Bacterial small subunit ribosomal RNA", at positions 338 to 795 of the family's 1533-position model. The record is from RNAcentral. Lineage: Bacteria; Pseudomonadati; Pseudomonadota; Gammaproteobacteria; Oceanospirillales; Halomonadaceae.